UACGUAGGUGGCAAGCGUUGUCCGGAUUUAUUGGGUUUAAAGGGCGCGUAGGCGGCUUUGUAAGUCAGUGGUGAAAUAUGGCAGCUCAACUGUCAAGGUGCCAUUGAUACUGCAGAGCUUGAGUACAGAUGAGGUAGGCGGAAUUGACGGUGUAGCGGUGAAAUGCUUAGAUAACGUCAAGAACACCUAUAGCGAAGGCAGCUUACUAGGCUGUAACUGACGCUGAGGCACGAAAGUGUGGGGAUCAAACAGG
Molecule: ribosomal RNA, 253 nt
Filed under: uncultured bacterium
Lineage: Bacteria
Description: partial 16S ribosomal RNA
Rfam family: Bacterial small subunit ribosomal RNA
Source: RNAcentral